RNAcentral lists this ribosomal RNA (2082 nucleotides) under Lachnospira hominis (ex Liu et al. 2021). Its description in RNAcentral is "partial 23S ribosomal RNA". It matches the Rfam family "Bacterial large subunit ribosomal RNA", at positions 390 to 2563 of the family's 2925-position model. The record is from RNAcentral. Lineage: Bacteria; Bacillati; Bacillota; Clostridia; Lachnospirales; Lachnospiraceae.
AACCGACAUGGCAGUAUCCAGAGUACCACGAGACACGAGAAACCUUGUGGGAAUGAGCGGAGACCACUCCGUAAGGCUAAAUACUACUCAGUGACCGAUAGCGCAUAGUACUGUGAAGGAAAGGUGAAAAGGACCCCGGGAGGGGAGUGAAAGAGAACCUGAAACCCUGUGUUUACAAGCACCGAAAGCACGUCAAUGUGCGAUCGGGUACCUUUUGUAGAAUGGUCCGGCGAGUGAAUGUAUUUGGCAAGGUUAAGCACUUCAGGUGCGGAGCCGCAGCGAAAGCAAGUCUGAACAGGGCGUAUGAAGUCAAAUGUAUUCGACCCGAAACCGGGUGACCUAGCCAUGACCAGGCUGAAGUGAAGGUAAAACUUCAUGGAGGACCGAACCGACUCCCGUUGAAAUGGUAGCGGAUGAACUGUGGCUAGCGGAGAAAUUCCAAUCGAACCCGGAGAUAGCUGGUUCUCUCCGAAAUAGCUUUAGGGCUAGCCUUGAAAUAGAUUACUGCAGGUAAAGCACUGAAUUGGCUAGGGGCCGAGAGGUUACUGAACCUUAUCAAACUAAGAAUGCCGGAUAAUCGUUUUUCAGGAGUCAGACAGUGGGAGAUAAGUUUCAUUGUCGAGAGGGAAACAGCCCAGACCCACAGCUAAGGUCCCCAAUCAUAGUUAAGUGGAAAAGGAUGUGGAAUUGCUUAGACAACCAGGAUGUUGGCUUAGAAGCAGCCACUCAUUAAAAGAGUGCGUAAUAGCUCACUGGUCGAGUGAUUCUGCGCGGAAAAUUUAACGGGGCUAAACUAUGAACCGAAGCUUGGGAUACCGUAAGGUAUGGUAGGAGAGCGUCGUAUACGGGGUGAAGUCAGAGCGAAAGCGCUGGUGGACUGUAUACGAGUGAGAAUGCCGGAAUAAGUAGCGAGAAUUAAGUGAGAAUCUUAAUGGCCGAAAGUCUAAGGUUUUUGGAGGAAGGUUCGUCCGCUCCAAGUAAGUCGGGAGCUAAGGUCAGGCCGAAAGGCGUAGCCGAUGCACAUACGGUUGAUAUUCCGUAACCAUCUGCAAUUUAAGCAAAGGGACACUUGAAAAGGGUGUGACCCGGGCGUUGGUAGACCCGGGCGUAAGGGACUGAAAUUAUAGUAGGGAAGCACACUUAGAUCAAGGCGAGAAAAGCUUUGUGUAUAGAAGCAGAUGCCCGUACCGCAAACCGACACAGGUGGACAGGAAGAGAAUUCUAAGGCCAGCGGGAGAAGGGUAGUUAAGGAACUCGGCAAAUUGACUCCGUAACUUCGGAAUAAGGAGUGCUCGAAAGAGCCGCAGAGAAUAGGCCCAGGCGACUGUUUAGCAAAAACACAGGUCUCUGCCAAAUCGAAAGAUGAAGUAUAGGGGCUGACACCUGCCCGGUGCCGGAAGGUUAAGAGGAGAUGUGCAAGCAUUGAAUUGAAGCCCCGGUAAACGGCGGCCGUAACUAUAACGGUCCUAAGGUAGCGAAAUUCCUUGUCGGGUAAGUUCCGACCCGCACGAAUGGUGUAACGAUCUGGGCACUGUCUCAACUACCCACCCGGCGAAAUUGUAGUACCGGUGAAGAUGCCGGUUACCUGCGGCAAGACGGAAAGACCCCAUGGAGCUUUACUGUAGCCUGAUAUUGGGUUUCGGUAAUCUAUGUACAGGAUAGGCGGGAGACUGGGAAGCUAAGGCGUCAGCUUUAGUGGAGUCAAUGUUGGGAUACCGCCCUUAGGUUUCUGGAAUUCUAACCUGCGGCCGUGAAUCCGGUCGGGGGACAUUGUCAGGUGGGCAGUUUGACUGGGGCGGUCGCCUCCUAAAGAGUAACGGAGGCGCUCAAAGGUUGGCUCAGUACGGACGGAAACCGUGCUUUUGAGUGUAAACGCAAAAGCCAGCCUAACUGCGAGCGUGACGGCGCGAGCAGUAACGAAAGUUGGAGUUAGUGAUCCGGCGGUAUGUGAAUGGAAAUGCCGUCGCUCAACGGAUAAAAGCUACCCUGGGGAUAACAGGCUGAUCUCCCCCAAGAGUCCACAUCGACGGAGUGGUUUGGCACCUCGAUGUCGGCUCAUCGCAUCCUGGGGCUGUAGUAGGU